GGAUUUAUUUUAUAAAGGUGUUG
Molecule: small nuclear RNA, 23 nt
Filed under: Arabidopsis thaliana (thale cress)
Lineage: Eukaryota; Viridiplantae; Streptophyta; Magnoliopsida; Brassicales; Brassicaceae
Description: snRNA_13742
Source: RNAcentral